GCUGUCUUCCUUGGGGGAUUCAGACUCAAGAACUUCGCAACUCUGCCUGCUGUGGGCACGAGGGGCGGCAUCAUUUUUCUUUGGAACGGAGAUAGCAUCGAAGCUUCGGACAUCACCGUUGGAGAGUUCCAUCUAUCCGCGACGAUCAGGCUGGUCCACACUGAGGUCUCCUUCAAGCUGACAACUGUCUAUGGGCCAACGAAUAGCAGCCGUAAGGAUGAUUUCUUCGCGGAAAUUGUGGCGCAGAAGCCGGCAGCGGGGCACCUGUGGCUGGUGAACGGGGAUUUCAACCAGAUUUAUAGAGCGAAGGAUAAGAACAAGCGGAACGCUAACAUCUCGCGCAUAAACCAUUUCCGCAGCACCUUGGACGCUUGUGAGCUAAAAGAGAUCCAUCUUCAGAACCGCAAGUUCACAUGGAGCAACGAGCGCAUUGACCCCACCCUCUGUAAGUUAGAUAGUUUUUUCUGCAACCCUGAGUGGGACCUCCAUUUUGGUUCUCAUGUGCUUUCUGCCAUGACCACCUCACUCUCUGACCACUGCCCAUUGUUCCUGUCCAGCGAUUGUGGCCCUAAGCGCCCCCGCAAAUUCAAGUUCGAGAACUUCUGGGUCAAGCUUCCGGGGUUCAGGCAGGUGGUCGCUAAGACUUGGGCCUAGCCUACCGCGCACUCGGAGCCAUGCCGGAUCUUUGCUGAGAAACUUCGGCGCACCGGGGUAGCCCUCCGGCAUUGGAGCAACGGUUUCUUCUCAGAUGCAAAGCUGCAGCUCACCAUGGCCCAGGAGAUCAUUCUCAGGUUGGACAUGGCCAUGGACUUUCGGCCACUUUCUCCGGAGGAGAGGGAGUUG
RNAcentral lists this ribosomal RNA (843 nucleotides) under Triticum aestivum (bread wheat). RNAcentral describes it as "partial small subunit ribosomal RNA". The record is from RNAcentral. Lineage: Eukaryota; Viridiplantae; Streptophyta; Magnoliopsida; Poales; Poaceae.